RNAcentral lists this ribosomal RNA (925 nucleotides) under uncultured Acidobacteriota bacterium. RNAcentral's name for it is "bacterial SSU rRNA". It matches the Rfam family "Bacterial small subunit ribosomal RNA", at positions 56 to 993 of the family's 1533-position model. The record is from RNAcentral. Lineage: Bacteria; Pseudomonadati; Acidobacteriota.
UGCAGUCGAACGAUUAAAGCUCUCUUCGGAGAGUGUAUAGAGUGGCGCACGGGUGAGUAACACGUAAGUAAUCUACCUUCGAGUGGGGAAUAACGUUCGGAAACGAACGCUAAUACCGCAUAACGCAGCGGCAUCGCAAGAUGACAGUUGUUAAAGGAAUUUAUUUCGCUUGAAGAGGAGCUUGCGGCAGAUUAGCUUGUUGGUAAGGUAACGGCUUACCAAGGCUACGAUCUGUAUCCGGUCUAAGAGGACGGUCGGACACACUGACACUGAAUAACGGGUCAGACUCCUACGGGAGGCAGCAGUCGGGAAUUUUGGGCAAUGGGCGAAAGCCUGACCCAGCAACGCCGCGUGAAGGAUGAAGUAUUUCGGUAUGUAAACUUCGAAAGAAUGGGAAGAAUAAAUGACGGUACCAUUUAUAAGCUCCGGCUAACUACGUGCCAGCAGCCGCGGUAAUACGUAGGGAGCAAGCGUUGUUCGGAUUUACUGGGCGUAAGGGCGCGUAGGCGGCGCGGUAAGUCACUUGUGAAAUCUCUGAGCUUAACUCAGAACGGCCAAGUGAUACUGCAGUGCUAGAGUGCAGAGGGGCAAUCGGAAUUCUUGGUGUAGCGGUGAAAUGCGUAGAUAUCAAGAGGAACACCUGAGGUGAAGACGGGUUGCUGGGCUGACACUGACGCUGAGGCGCGAAAGCCAGGGGAGCAAACGGGAUUAGAUACCCCGGUAGUCCUGGCCCUAAACGAUGAAUACUUGGUGUCUGGAGUUUCAAGACUUCGGGUGCCGUCGCUAACGUUUUAAGUAUUCCGCCUGGGGAGUACGCUCGCAAGAGUGAAACUCAAAGGAAUUGACGGGGACCCGCACAAGCGGUGGAGCAUGUGGUUUAAUUCGACGCAACGCGAAGAACCUUACCUGGACUAGAAUGUGAGGG